Struthio camelus australis is the source of this 417-nucleotide long non-coding RNA. RefSeq lists it as uncharacterized. NCBI's taxonomy places the organism in Eukaryota, Metazoa, Chordata, Aves, Struthioniformes, Struthionidae. The record is from RefSeq and is a predicted model, not a curated record.
UGUUGGAGAUUCGUUCACAUGCGCUGCACUAAAAUGGAACUGGCAGUCUCUCUCCAGAGAUGCUAUGCUCUUCAAAGUCUUACAAGCACAAUUCGGUAGCAGAGACUUGUACGUUCAAGAAGAGUCCAUCUUCUCAAUAAUUUUUACACAGAUCUUCAGUGAUUCUGCUAAGUGUAACCAGAUUAAAAAGGCGUUCGCUAACCUUUAAGGUGCAGGAGCUACUUUGACACCUUAAUUGUCAUUAAGGCCAUGUGAAUGCUGCCAUAGAAGAGAGAUAUACCCUGUUUUCAACUCUUUUCCUCUGUCCUCUAGCAUGGCAUUGAAGGAAAAGGUAGAUUUUUUUGACCUAGUGUUAUAUGGCGCAAACAGCUUAAAAAUUCUUCCAAGUUGUCUGGAGAGCUUGUACAUUCUGCAGUA